UACGUAGGGGGCUAGCGUUGUUCGGAUUUACUGGGCGUAAAGCGCACGUAGGCGGAUCGAUCAGUCAGGGGUGAAAUCCCAGGGCUCAACCCUGGAACUGCCUUUGAUACUGUCGAUCUGGAGUAUGGAAGAGGUGAGUGGAAUUCCGAGUGUAGAGGUGAAAUUCGUAGAUAUUCGGAGGAACACCAGUGGCGAAGGCGGCUGACUGGUCCAUUACUGACGCUGAGGUGCGAAAGCGUGGGGAGCAAACAGG
Molecule: ribosomal RNA, 253 nt
Filed under: uncultured bacterium
Lineage: Bacteria
Description: partial 16S ribosomal RNA
Rfam family: Bacterial small subunit ribosomal RNA
Source: RNAcentral